This 1147-nucleotide long non-coding RNA is filed under the name Oncorhynchus mykiss (rainbow trout). RNAcentral describes it as "lncRNA (ENSOMYG00000074221.1)". The record is from RNAcentral. Lineage: Eukaryota; Metazoa; Chordata; Actinopteri; Salmoniformes; Salmonidae.
UAACCUUUUUGGGAUAGGGGGCAGCAUUUUCACUUUUGGAUGAAUAGUGUGCCCAGACUGAACUGCCUCCUACUCUGUCCCAGAUGCUAAUAUAUGCAUAUUAUUAUUAGUAUUGGAUAGAAAACACUCUGAAGUUUCUAAAACAGUUUGAAUUAUGUAUGUGAGUAUAACAGAACUCAUAUGGCAGGCAAAAACCUGAGAAAGAAUCAAAACAGGAAGUGAGAAAUCGAUUUUCAAAACAGUGCCUAUUGAAAUCCCAGUGAGAUAUGAAUGAGGAUGCACUUCCUAGGGCUUCCACAAGAUGUCACCGUCUUUAGAAACUGGUAUGAGGAUUCUACUAUAAAGGAGGGGCUCAUAAUAGCUCUUUGAGUGAGUGGGCUGGCAGUGAGCCUCGGUCUCAUGACGCGCACUCCGGACAGAGUUUGCUCUCGUUCCAAUGCUUUUCUUCAGACAAUGUAAUUCUCCGGUUGGAACCUUAUUGAUGAUUUAUGUUAAAAACAUCCUAAAGAUUGAUUGCAUACAUCAUUUGACGUGUUUCUACGGACUGUAACGGAAAUAUUCAAGUUUUUGUCUGGAGGAAGUGCCUCAUGAAGUUGGAUUACUGGGCUUAACACGCUAACAACAAGUGGCUAAAUGAUGGGCUUUAUGGAAAUUUAUGGAACAAAUCAGUCAUUUAUUGUCGAACUGGGAUUCCUGGGAGUGCCUUCUGAUGAAGAUCAAAGGCAAGUGAAUAUUUAUAGUUGUCAUGUAUUGUCAUGUUGUGUCUUGUUUCUGUCCUUUCCCUUCACCCUGUCUCCCUCUGCUGGUCGUUAUUAGGUUACCUUUUCUCCCCCUCUUUCCCCCAGCUGUUCCUUGUCUCCUCCUAACUACCUCGUCACCCCUUUUCCCACCUGUUCCCUUUUUCCCUCUGAUUAGUCCUCUAUAUCCCCCUCUUUCCCCCAGCUGUUCCUUGUCUCCUCCUAACUACCUCGUCACCCCUUUUCCCACCUGUUCCCUUUUUCCCUCUGAUUAGUCCUGUCGGAAUCUGCCUGUCCAUCUGAGCCUACGUGUGUUUCGUCAUUAAAGUAACUCAGUUUUGUUAAUUCGCUUUUGGGUCCUCAUUCACGCUUCAUAACAAUAGUGUUUUUUUCUAGCUUCUGUUGACACC